This 18-nucleotide transfer RNA is filed under the name Crepidomanes minutum. Its description in RNAcentral is "partial tRNA-Ser". The record is from RNAcentral. RNAcentral also lists the same sequence under 7 other names. Lineage: Eukaryota; Viridiplantae; Streptophyta; Polypodiopsida; Hymenophyllales; Hymenophyllaceae.
GGAGAGAUGGCCGAGAGG